AACAAGUUCAAUUUUCAGUUUUUGGAUACAAUUUUUGAUUCUCUGUCUUAUUUAAAAACUUGUAGUUAUUAAUAUUUUUAUUAUUAAUAGACGAUAAAAUAUAAAUAAUACUUUACACGUGACUAAUUUCUUUAAGGUUUUCUAUAAUUUUUUAAAUAAAAUGGAUGGUUAAACAUUGGACAUAGGAUUAAA
This 192-nucleotide microRNA precursor is filed under the name Oryza brachyantha (malo sina). Its description in RNAcentral is "MIR812 microRNA precursor family". It matches the Rfam family "MIR812 microRNA precursor family". Lineage: Eukaryota; Viridiplantae; Streptophyta; Magnoliopsida; Poales; Poaceae. The record is from Rfam by way of RNAcentral.